GGCCUCCCCCGACGCGGUGUUUCCCUUCCCCCGCAGGGCCAUGGAGUUUGUGCCGCCGUUCCAGCGCGUGGUGCAGCCCGAGGAGAUGUGGCUUUACAGAAACCCCUACGUGGAAGCGGAUCACGUACCCACGCUGCCCAUGCUUUUCAUCGCGUUUCUGUCUCCCCUGUUGCUCAUUGUCCUGGCAAGGGUGUUCAUGAAUGCUGACCGAGAAGACACGCGGGAAGCCUGCCUUGCUGCCAGCCUUGCUCUUGCCCUAAACGGGGUUUUCACCAAUGCCCUGAAGCUCGUUGUGGGGAGGCCACGGCCAGACUUCUUCUAUCGAUGCUUCCCAGACGGACGAGCAAACGCAGAGCUGGUGUGCACAGGCGACCCGGGCAUAGUGACUGAGGGACGCAAGAGCUUCCCCAGCGGACACGCUUCGUUCGCCUUCGCUGGUCUCUCCUUCUCUGCCUUCUACAUAGCUGGGAAGCUGCACUGCUUCACUCCCGGCCGGGGAGGCAGGGCGCUGCGGCUCUGCGCCUUCCUCCUCCCGCUGUUCCUCGCCACCCUCAUCGCCGUGUCCCGCACCUGCGACUACAAGCACCACUGGCAAGAUGUGUUGGUUGGCUCAGCAAUCGGCUUUGUGCUUGCGUACCUCUGCUACCGGCAGUAUUACCCUCCUCUGGUGGACUCCAUGUGCCACAAACCAUUUCUGUGCAAAUCCAAACAACUGCCAGCACCCCAAGAGAAGUCUGCAGCUCCCAGCUUUCACCUGGAUAUAUAGUGAUGGGCUCCGUCCUGCCAGCGCCUUUCCUGCUGUUCCUUGAGUGCUGGGGCAGGGGAAGGGUUUGGAGAGGUUGGUCUGCGAGAAGUGGCUCAAUUAAGGAUGAAUCUGAAACCCAAGCAGGCGUUCUUGGCAGUGCUGGUAAGUUGUCCUGCUCAGGGGCCUGUGUUGCUUUGUUAACCAAAUUUUGUAGGCGUCCCUCCCUUCGGGCCUGCAGUGAAGCGAGCAAGGCACUCGGCGUGCAAGCCUGUGGGAGGGCAGCUCGGGUUAUGAAAGAUCCUGAAGCAAGAACUGGAAAAAUGUGACAAUCUGGUGUGCGCCGUCCGCGGGGUGGUCUUGUGUCCAGUCUGGAAAGCACCAUCAGUCCUCUCCCUUCCAUCCAGUCGAGCUCUCCCAUCCCUUCUCAUAGGAAACCUUUAAUACAAUUGUAAAGAGAUGACAGUCGGCAGAAAACGAAAUGGUGUCUGAAAGCAUCCCUUCAGAGGUGCUGGUUUCUCUGCACCGGGUUUGUUUUCUCAGACAAUGGAAGGGUAGAGUGCUGCUGAGAAACCCAAGGCACAGCUGUGUGGCAGGACUGUUGAGACGCUUUAGCAAUCGGUAGCUCAGGCGCCGGCUGAGCAGCGUGCCUGUUUCUGCAGUCAGGUAAAAGAACAGCUUCAGUUCCUUUGGGACGGGAGGAGGGUUGUAGGCUGCAAACAAAACCUUUCAAAUAGUGCAAAUAACGUAGUACAACAGAGGACAAAUGAACAGGCUGUGGAAAAAAGGCUCCUGACCCCAUGCAGGGCAAUGGUCAGUGGGAGGGAAAGUGGUCUGGCUCUUCCCAAAGGCUGUCACAGCAACCUGACACAUCACUGAAGCGGCUGCCUCUGCCUUGCCCCAAGGCUCCAGCCUCAGCCCAGCCCCCGAGUCAGCCUGGGUGGGUUUGGUCGCAAAGGGGGGGAUCACUGGAGGCUCUCUGGCCCCGUGCCCCCCGGAGCAGAGCUACCCCCCCACAGGCACCUGCAGACUCACCUGCCUGCAGAGCCGGCAACGUUCCUUCAGUGGGGCCAUGGGGACACAGUGCCCAGACCCUGCAGAUCUGGGCUCCGACUUCACUGGCUGCAUUUUGUGUAUUUAAACCCAAACCCAAUGACUGGAGCCUGGCUGGCGUGAGAUCCCCGUAGGCACCCCGAAAGCCAUGCUGCAGCAGGAUGCAGUGCCCCUGCAAAGCACAGAGUCCCUCCAGGCCUCUGAAUUGCCUGGGGGCUGCUGCGGAGCGGCUGCUUUCCCCCAGUAUGGCUGUAGUUUGAUCUGGGGGUGAAGCUUUCCUCCCAUAUGGUUACGCCACUAGCUCAGUCCUACGCAAGCUGCAGGCAGUGCCUGGGGGAGGCCCUUGGUUUGCUGGCUGCCGAGGGCUGGGUGAGGAUGCUGAGAAUUCGCUACAGCAGGCAGGAGCGCCUGGGUCACGUGCGCACAACCAUGCCGCUCGCACGAGCUGUUUUACAGGGCAGCCCUGCCUGGCACAGCCCAUGGGUGCACAAACCAUGCAGCAGCAAUUCGAGGAGGUGAGAAUGGCUGGGAGACACAUUUCCGCUCGCUUCGCAGCAGACGCCUGCGCCCUGGGCUUCGCCUCCCAAGGACCGCAGUCCUUGUGCCUGGUGCUCUGCGCUAGGGCAGGGAGAAGUCAGCGCUCUCCUUCGCUCGACAAGGCUGCUAUAGCUCUCUCCACGCUGCGUGUUUAAGGCUUUUAUUCCUCAAGGGCACAAGCUGCGGGUUUCUGCACUAUGCCAGGAGCAGCCCUCGAUGUCAGUUCCUAGCCCAGAGAGCGAGUCUGCUUCGGUGCUAGAGGAGCUGGUGGGGUAACUUACAAGCUGGAGAAUGAAGCGUACGUGUUGCCACAGGGAGUCACGGUCAAGUACUGUGUGUGUUCGAGUAGAAGUGUUUUCCCUUGACAUUUUUUCCCCCCCCCGCCCCUACCCAAAAUGGAGGAAAAUCAUCCUUAUCUCCAGGUAGCAGCAGGUACUUGGGAAGCAGCAUGCGGGGGACGCAGCAGCAGAGGAGAGAGGAAGGCAGAGAAGAAAUCUGGACUUUCCUGGAACCAAGGCCUGAAAUUAAUGGCAAGAGGACCAGAAGGGCAUGCUACCAGGAGGCCAUAUGCCAUGCUGGAACAGAGGGAUGAGACUGGAGCAUCUUCUGUGGGCAGCACACGCGAGCACGUAUGAGCAACGGCAGCAGACACCAACGUUCUCCGUGCCCAAGCACAGAGAACAGCGUCAGCGGGCAUCCUAGGAGAGAUGUCCCAAGUCAAACUUCCCCCAGAGGCAGAAGAUCGCCGUCCGAGCCGUGACCCACUUUGGUCCUGCUUUGAAGGAGAGGGAAGGCAGCGGGGACGGAUGCGGCUACGGCAGCGGGAUUUUUCUGCAGGCUGCGGUGUGGAAGUUUUUCCAGUAUGGCCUGAAUUCUGUGGACGGACUCUUUCCUGGCCUGACGAACACUGUCCUGGCCACCAGUCUCGAU
Egretta garzetta (little egret) is the source of this 3262-nucleotide RNA transcript. It is a transcript of the gene named phospholipid phosphatase 5, with no coding region annotated. The record is from RefSeq and is a predicted model, not a curated record. The transcript is spliced from 11 exons. Lineage: Eukaryota; Metazoa; Chordata; Aves; Pelecaniformes; Ardeidae.